Molecule: long non-coding RNA, 327 nt
Organism: Glycine soja
Lineage: Eukaryota; Viridiplantae; Streptophyta; Magnoliopsida; Fabales; Fabaceae
Exons: 2
Source: RefSeq, a predicted model, not a curated record
AUUAGUAUAUAUAAAGAGUCAGAUAUAAUUAUCAAAAUUCGAAACUAAAAUCCAUCGGAAAUGGCUUUUUGCUUUCAUCAACGCUUUCUCUUGGAAAUUUUAAUUGUUGCAUUGAUUUUGAGUUCAGGAACAACGACUGGACAAGCUUUUAAGUGUAUAGGAAAAUGCUACCGUCCUUUAGAUUGUAGGGAUUAUUGCAGUAGCCUAGGUUUUAAGAAGUUUUACGGAUGUAUUUUAAUUGCGAGACUUUGCUGUUGUAGUGAUUGAGUUAUAUUGUACCCAUAGUUAUUUUAUAAAAUUUCAAUAAAAUGGGUGUUUAAAAUAAAA